Molecule: ribosomal RNA, 501 nt
Filed under: uncultured bacterium
Lineage: Bacteria
Description: partial 16S ribosomal RNA
Rfam family: Bacterial small subunit ribosomal RNA
Source: RNAcentral
AUUGAACGCUGGCGGCAGGCUUAACACAUGCAAGUCGAGCGGGGGAGGGUAGCUUGCUACCGGACCUAGCGGCGGACGGGUGAGAAAUGCUUAGGAAUCUGCCUAUUAGUGGGGGACAACAUCUCGAAAGGGAUGCUAAUACCGCAUACGUCCUACGGGAGAAAGCAGGGGAUCUUCGGACCUUGCGCUAAUAGAUGAGCCUAAGUCGGAUUAGCUAGUUGGUGGGGUAAAGGCCUACCAAGGCGACGAUCUGUAGCGGGUCUGAGAGGAUGAUCCGCCACACUGGGACUGAGACACGGCCCAGACUCCUACGGGAGGCAGCAGUGGGGAAUAUUGGACAAUGGGGGGAACCCUGAUCCAGCCAUGCCGCAUGUGUGAAGAAGGCCUUAUGGUUGUAAAGCACUUUAAGCGAGGAGGAGGCUACUUUAGUUAAUACCUAGAGAUAGUGGACGUUACUCGCAGAAUAAGCACCGGCUAACUCUGUGCCAGCCGCCGCGGUAA